RNAcentral lists this ribosomal RNA (237 nucleotides) under uncultured bacterium. RNAcentral's name for it is "partial 16S ribosomal RNA". It matches the Rfam family "Bacterial small subunit ribosomal RNA", at positions 109 to 334 of the family's 1533-position model. The record is from RNAcentral.
AGUAACGCGUGGGAAACCUGCCGUAAAGUGGGGGAUAACAGUUCUAACGGACUGCUAAUACCGCAUAACGCCGCAGAUCGCAUGGUCUGCGGUUAAAGGAGGCCUCUGUAUAUGCUUCCGCUUAACGAUGGUCCCGCGUCCUAUUAGCUUGUUGGUGGGGUAACGGCCUACCAAGGCGAUGAUGGGUAGCCGGCUUGAGAGAGUGGUCGGCCACACUGGGACUGAGAUACGGCCCAG